This 308-nucleotide long non-coding RNA is filed under the name Homo sapiens (human). Its description in RNAcentral is "non-protein coding lnc-HHIP-1:4". The record is from RNAcentral. Lineage: Eukaryota; Metazoa; Chordata; Mammalia; Primates; Hominidae.
AAAAUUAUUCUUUGAAAUGGCAAAGAUUUCUGUGGCUGGAUCAUGGGAUUUAUUGACUGGAGCGAUUUCUCCUCAGAAGACCAGACACAUGAAAGCUUCUUAUGUCUCUUCCCUGACAUUUCACAAAAUAGAGAAAAAGGAAAGGAAAAAAAUAUCCCUGAGGAAAGGCUAAGUGUAAAGAAGAAUUUGAUUUUGGCAUUGCUUUGAGAGGUUCCACUUACUUCCUCAACCCAUGGAAUGCUUAUUGUUGAACCAACACCGUAAGAAAGACACAGCUUCAGCUUCAAUAAGACUGCACUGUAUGCAAA